AGGAUGAACGCUAGCUACAGGCUUAACACAUGCAAGUCGAGGGGUAAACGACAUCGAAAGCUUGGCUUUUGGUGGGCGUCGACCGGCGCACGGGUGAGUAACGCGUAUCCAACCUGCCCACACUUGGGGAUAACCCGUCGAAAGGCGGCCUAACACGAUAUGCGGUUCUCAGCAGGCAUCUAACGAGAACGAAAUGUGAAGGAGAAGGAUGGGGAUGCGUCUGAUUAGCUUGUUGGCGGGGUAACGGCCCACCAAGGCGACGAUCAGUAGGGGUUCUGAGAGGAAGGUCCCCCACAUUGGAACUGAGACACGGUCCAAACUCCUACGGGAGGCAGCAGUGAGGAAUAUUGGUCAAUGGACGGAGUCUGAACCAGCCAAGUAGCGUGCAGGAUGACGGCCCUAUGGGUUGUAAACUGCUUUUAUAGGGGGAUAAAGUGUGCCACGUGUGGCAUAUUGCAGGUACCCUAUGAAUAAGGACCGGCUAAUUCCGUG
Molecule: ribosomal RNA, 492 nt
Filed under: uncultured bacterium
Lineage: Bacteria
Description: bacterial SSU rRNA
Rfam family: Bacterial small subunit ribosomal RNA
Source: RNAcentral